AUGAGGAUGAUUCAAACAGCCAGCUGUCCCAGCACUGAGGAGGAAACACCAUGAUAUGUUGAGGACAGCUACAGUUCACUGACUCUGUGUGUUUGCAUAUCUGUCCUGCCUCUCUGCUCCCAGCCGUUAAGAGGCCAGUGUUGAUCAGUGGCUGUCCAGGCCUUUCAGAGCCACUGACACGCCGGCAGCACAAUGAUGAUGUCACUGAUUCCACUGCUGGCCACCCUGGGGCUCCUUGUUCAGAGUUCAUCAGGACAAAUCGUCCUGACUCAGUCUCCUGGAUCUCAGUCUGUUGUUCCAGGACAGACUGUCUCUCUCAGAUGUAAAACCAGUUCAAGUGUUAGUAGCAGUGGUUACAGCUACCUCCACUGGUACCUUCAGAAACCUGGAGAAGCUCCUAAACUCCUGAUUUAUUACGCUACAACCCUUCAGUCUGGAGUUCCAGGUCGUUUUAGUGGAAGUGGAUCUGGGACUGACUUCACUCUGACCAUCAGUGGAGUUCAGGCGGAAGAUUCAGGAGUUUACUACUGUCAGCAGGGUCGCAGCUACCCGUUCACACAGUGAUACGUCGUACAAAAACCUCCCUCAGCUGGAGAGGAACUGAUCUGACUCAACAGCUGCACUGAAACUAAAACAACAGAGGUUUGACAGCAACACAUUUAUUAAUAAAGACAAUGAAUACUUCUCUAAGUCUAAACGCACAUAGCAAGGAUGUAAUUUUAUCAUUAUAGAUAUGUAAAAUUUAAAUAAACAGCACUUUUUGACAGCAACAUUUUGAGUAAACAUUUACAUUUUUCUUUGUAAACAGCAAACUCAGUUCAGAUUAACAAAAAAUUGAAAUGUAAGAAAAAAACUAUUAAAAAUAAUUUGGUACUGAUAUCAGUGUUGCAGUCAAAUAAAAAAUUCUAAGACAACAAAAUAAACUUUACCUGAAACAUGUUAUCCAACAAAAACAGUUUAGUGGUUGGUGCAUUUGAUUCAUAUAAUUUCAGUAUUGUGUGUUCAAACAUACUGUUACUGCUGACAGUCAAAUUCCCAACCAUCAGCUGUUCCUCCUCCACCCUCUCAAACUAAAGCUGUCCCGUCUGGUUCAGUCCAAACACAGACACACACUACACUUGUUCUGCUCUGUCAUCUAACACAUCAUGGCUGCCAGCUUUUUACAAAUGAGCUCCAGUCUUCUAGCACUGACAUGUAGCGAGGAACACAGCAAGGACGGCCUUUGAUAGCACUUUAACUUGUUUCAGUGCGUGAACCCCUCCUAUAGUCAGGACAUUUACAUGGUAAUGUUUUAGGGGUUGAAGCUGAGGACCAAAUGUGGUUGACAUCAUUUCAUGCUCAGUUUUUGCUAGUCAUGUUUAUUCCCAAGAUAUAGCAUGUAAAAAUGAUCUUCCUCAACUAUCUUCACUAAAAUAAAAAUAUGUAUAUG
Non-coding RNA from Siniperca chuatsi (mandarin fish), 1429 nucleotides. The record is from the annotation of a RefSeq genome assembly. Lineage: Eukaryota; Metazoa; Chordata; Actinopteri; Centrarchiformes; Sinipercidae.